This 368-nucleotide unclassified non-coding RNA is filed under the name soil metagenome. Its description in RNAcentral is "partial contains 5.8S ribosomal RNA, internal transcribed spacer 2, and large subunit ribosomal RNA". The stretch from base 1 to 120 matches the Rfam family "5.8S ribosomal RNA", at positions 35 to 154 of the family's 154-position model. The record is from RNAcentral.
GAUGAAGAACGUAGCGAAAUGCGAUAAGUAAUGUGAAUUGCAGAAUUCCGUGAAUCAUCGAAUCUUUGAACGCACAUUGCGCCCUCUGGUAUUCCGGGGGGCAUGCCUGUCCGAGCGUCAUUGCGAACCCUCAAGCACGGCUUGUGUGAUGGGUCGUCGUCCCGACGCCAUGCGGAAGCGUGGCGAGGGGGACGGGCCCGAAAGGCAGUGGCGGCGUUGCGGUUCUCCGAACAGCCUGAGUGUAUGGGGCUCUGUCACACGCUCUGGGCUCCGGACCAACGCUAGUCUUUGGUUAUCCAUCUUUCUAAGGUUGACCUCGGAUCAGGUAGGGAUACCCGCUGAACUUAAGCAUAUCAAUAAGCGGAGGA